UACGUAUGGUGCGAGCGUUGUCCGGAAUUAUUGGGCGUAAAGAGCUUGUAGGCGGUUUGUCGCGUCUGCUGUGAAAAUCCGGGGCUCAACCCCGGACUUGCAGUGGGUACGGGCAGACUAGAGUGUGGUAGGGGAGACUGGAAUUCCUGGUGUAGCGGUGAAAUGCGCAGAUAUCAGGAGGAACACCAGUGGCGAAGGCGGUGCUCUGGGCCGGAACUGACGCUGAGGAGCGAAAGCGUGGGGAGCAAACAGG
RNAcentral lists this ribosomal RNA (253 nucleotides) under uncultured bacterium. RNAcentral describes it as "partial 16S ribosomal RNA". It matches the Rfam family "Bacterial small subunit ribosomal RNA", at positions 524 to 776 of the family's 1533-position model. The record is from RNAcentral.